Molecule: long non-coding RNA, 789 nt
Organism: Podarcis raffonei (Aeolian wall lizard)
Lineage: Eukaryota; Metazoa; Chordata; Lepidosauria; Squamata; Lacertidae
Exons: 3
Source: RefSeq, a predicted model, not a curated record
UACAACAUGGGUAGCUUGAAACCUGAGCGUUGAUUUUUCGAGACAGCAGAGUGGCCAGCUGACAUGGGAGAGCCAGGUUCAACAGAAGAGUUUCAACAGCUUUUCACAGCAACUUGGUCCGCAGCAGUUUAUCAGGUUCCCUUCCACCGCGUUCAAAGCGUCACCCGCAGCGCAAACUCCUACUUUGCGCAAAUGGCACCGAAAUGAGUCACGGGGCGGCAGAGAGAGCAUAGCCGUGGGCGGUGGGACAAGAGCGAGGAGAGACCAGCGUGGAAAGAGCCCGAACAUAAAAUGUCUACUAAUCAGCGGCAGAUGAUGUGAGAAAGUGGCAGGACUCACCUUACCGCUGAUCUGUCAUGCUGCGGCUGCUGCUUACCAAGAAGCAAAAGGGGUAAGGCAAGGGCACUGUGGGGCACAAGCACUGUGGGGCUGCCGGAUUGGCGCCGCUGGUGCAUCUGCCCCAUGCUGAUCUCCUCUUCCCAGUCAGCAGCAGCAACAUGACCAGCUGAAGGUCAGAAAUGCUCCUGAUCAGGUGUGAAACUGCAGGUUUUGUCAUUCCUCUCCAAAAAGCAAAACAUAUGGGACAUAUUAAAGCUUACAAGGAACGCAGAAUAGAAUGUCAGAACUGAGUUCGCACAAUGCUACUUAAACAACACAUUCAUAUUUACUGUAUAUGCGGGGUUUAAUCCUGUAUGCACUUACCCGGGAAAAAGCCCCAUUGAACACAAUAAAUGUCUGUGGUUCUUUUUCAUUUACACCAUGGACUGAAAUAAACUGAUUUGUAGCAAU